AAUUACAAAAUCAAUAAAUCCAUUACCAUUUGAAUCAAAAACCUAACAUUCACUGAGAGGGCUAUUGGAGGGACUUCCAGGAGGAUGGACACAAAGAGACUCAGUGGAUAUGCUGCCCAGAUGGCAUGGGCACCCCUGCCCUUCCUGCUCCUCUGUGUCUUCAUGGAACCUCGUGAUCCUUACUCAAACAAAUCUGCAUUACAUUUCUACCUGAGUAGAGAUGAAAUGCAUAAAUGAAUAAAAUGCUGAGAUGAUGGCAGCUCAACUAGAAACACUCCUGAAGACUCCUAGGGAGACCCCUCAUGUCCACUCCACUACUUGUCGGCCCUCAUCAGCCGUUAGCCACUGAACAGGAUAGAUGAUACAUUUCUGCUGGCUUAGGUUCUUGCUCCCAUAAUUAUGUGCACUCAAAUAUGCUAAGAUUUAUGCAUCUGGCAGAUGUUUAGCCUAACACUUCAUUGCGAGCAGAAUUCUUCUUUACAGAGACCAAAGUGAAUAUGUCCAUAUGCUUUUGUUCACUCUCUACUCUGUCAACAUUUCCACUGACUUCAGUAGAAGUCCAAAUGGGGAAAGUCCAGCUUUAAUAUUCCUUUAUGCCCACAACCUUCCCCUCAUAGAGCCUACUCAUUUUGACAAAUUCUUGAAUUAUAGUUUUACUUACAAUAAAAGAAAAAAAGUGCUUAGUCUUAGACUUCAAGUUAUUAGUGGGUAAGUACUGGAGACUAAGUACGGUACAAAGAGAAAAAAAAGCUGUGAAGCCAGAUACUAACUUGGCAUAGGUCCCUUAGCAUCAGUGGAAUUCUGCUGAUUUACAUAAACUGAGAAUCAGGCGUGUUUAAAAAAAAAAAAAAAAAAAAAGCCAACAAAACCUACAAGCAUCUACAAAACUUGAACACUGUGCUUUGAAAUAUAAGGCAGACACUUUAUCCAUGGGUCUGUGUAGUCUUUCGUUGAAAUCCACUGGAAUUUAGACAUAUUAUUUUUGGCCACUGGAAAGUGCUCACAUUGUUCCAUGAAAGAAACAGAAGCGUGUUGUGAAUUCAGGAGAAAAAUUAAUAGAAAUGUAAAAAAAAAAAAAAGGAAAAAAAAAAAGUAAUAAUUAUAAUAAAGAAGGCUAUGGAGUUCACACAAAGUGCAUUCCUUCAUCCCAAAUUAAGAGCUGCAUGCAUGAAGAGCUGCUCAAGAAGUCAGACUUAAUUUAGCUGUCUUUCUACGGAAAUUAAGUGUGGUAACAGUAGUGAUGACUUUUUUCCCAUUUGCUAACUGUUCAUUUUUCUUUUAGUCUCUUAAUUCCAGUCCUGAAUAGUGUAUGCAAUUUGGGAAAGACUUAGUCUUUUCCAAAGAAGUACAAAUAGUGUUGUGUGUGUUUACUGCAGUACCUCAGCGAUGCCAAUCCUCUCUGACUUGAUGUUUUCUCUGUCUGCCAAGGGAGCCCCGUCCUCUUCAGCCUCACAGGAGAGGCCAUUGGGUCUGGCCAAGGCAAAUAGGUGUGGUGGUUCUGUAACAAGUAUAUUUCUGGAACUAUUACACAGGAAUAAGGGUAGUUCAUCUCAACCAGUUCUCAUCCAUCGGCUGCACCAUUGAUCUAUUGAAACCUACUGAAAUGGCUGCACAUUCUUUUUUCUUCAAUAGUACUUAGACAUUACAGCUAAGUGUUUUCUCAGGAUACCAAGAUACAGAACAUUCAGCAAAGAAUCUGACCUCCCUUUCUGCAUGGUGUGUCUUCCAUUGCAAUGGAUGGAGAUAUUUGGUUCAUUGGCAGAAACUGUUACCAGAAUAUAUGGAAGGCUGGUAGAGACAGAGCAUUUGCAGUACAGUGUGAACCAAAUCUCAUUGCCAAAAGAUGAUCUUCAGUGUCCUUGGGAUUGAUUGCUUGUACUUCUAUUCCACCAACCCUUGAAUAAAGUCGAUGGAGCUCAAAGGUGCUCUUGCAGAAUCUUCAGCCCAUUUUUAAAGUUUCUUAGGACCUUCAUCCCCCUGUGCUCUUCAUUCGCCUGUCUCAUUGGCAUCUAGCCCUGCACCACUGUGAAGUUAAUGGGAGCAACCAUGAAUAUAAGUUCAAGCUGUACAAUGCAAAAAAAAAGUGAUGCUUCAUAGAACCACAAGAUAGCUGCAUUUGGGAGGUGCUGCUGUAAAUCAUCUAGCCCAAAGCUCAAGCAGAGUCAGCUGCAGCAAGUUGUCCAAAACUGUGCCCAGUUGGAUUCUGAAUAUUUCU
Non-coding RNA from Anas platyrhynchos (mallard), 2215 nucleotides. Lineage: Eukaryota; Metazoa; Chordata; Aves; Anseriformes; Anatidae. The record is from RefSeq and is a predicted model, not a curated record.